GACGAACCAUGCAAACGUUAUUCGGAAUCACUGGGCUUAAAGCGUGCGUAGGCGGUUCAGAAAGUUGGGUGUGAAAUACUUCGGCUCAACCGAGGAAUUGCGCCCAAAACUACUGGGCUUGAGGGAGUUAGAGGUGAGCGGAACUCACGGUGGAGCGGUGAAAUGCGUUGAUAUCGUGAGGAACACCGGAGGCGAAAGCGGCUCACUGGGGCUUCACUGACGCUGAGGCACGAAAGCUAGGGGAGCAAACGGG
This 253-nucleotide ribosomal RNA is filed under the name uncultured bacterium. RNAcentral describes it as "partial 16S ribosomal RNA". It matches the Rfam family "Bacterial small subunit ribosomal RNA", at positions 524 to 776 of the family's 1533-position model. The record is from RNAcentral.